This 63-nucleotide non-coding RNA is filed under the name Bifidobacterium psychraerophilum. Lineage: Bacteria; Bacillati; Actinomycetota; Actinomycetes; Bifidobacteriales; Bifidobacteriaceae. The record is from RNAcentral.
UCAGAACCCGCUUGGGUCCCCGGACGAUGGUCAAGUACCCGGACAGCGACAAGACUUGCCGAA